GGGAUUGUGGCUCAGCGAUAGAGCAUUCACCUAGCGUGUGGGAGGCUCUGGGUUCGAUCCCCAGCACCA
Ictidomys tridecemlineatus (thirteen-lined ground squirrel) is the source of this 69-nucleotide non-coding RNA. Lineage: Eukaryota; Metazoa; Chordata; Mammalia; Rodentia; Sciuridae. The record is from Rfam.